Ribosomal RNA from Cyprinus carpio carpio, 121 nucleotides. Lineage: Eukaryota; Metazoa; Chordata; Actinopteri; Cypriniformes; Cyprinidae. The record is from Ensembl.
UUGUACUGAAAUAUUUUUUUAAGAGCGCGCCCGAUCUCGUCUGAUCUCGGAAGCUAAGCAGGGUCGGGCCUGGUUAGUACUUGGAUGGGAGACCGCCUGGGAAUACCAGGUGCUGUAAGCU